UGUGGUGAUGAUGGCGCAGAUGAUACACCUGUUCCCAUGCCGAACACAGAAGUUAAGCUCUGUAGCGCCGAAAGUAGUUGGGGGAUCGCUCCCUGCGAGGAUAGGACGUCGCCAUGC
Molecule: ribosomal RNA, 117 nt
Filed under: Periweissella ghanensis
Lineage: Bacteria; Bacillati; Bacillota; Bacilli; Lactobacillales; Lactobacillaceae
Also listed under: 2 other names
Source: RNAcentral